RNAcentral lists this ribosomal RNA (253 nucleotides) under uncultured bacterium. RNAcentral's name for it is "partial 16S ribosomal RNA". It matches the Rfam family "Bacterial small subunit ribosomal RNA", at positions 524 to 776 of the family's 1533-position model. The record is from RNAcentral.
UACAGGGGGUGCAAGCGUUGCUCGGAAUCAUUGGGCGUAAAGCGCACGUAGGCGGUUCGUUAUGUCGGAUGUGAAAGCCCUUGGCUUAACCGAGGAAGUGCAUCCGAAACUGGCGAGCUAGAGUACUAAAGAGGAUCGCGGAAUUCCCGGUGUAGAGGUGAAAUUCGUAGAUAUCGGGAGGAACACCGGUGGCGAAGGCGGCGAUCUGGGUAGAUACUGACGCUGAGACGCGAAAGCGUGGGGAGCAAACAGG